RNAcentral lists this ribosomal RNA (404 nucleotides) under uncultured Ceratobasidiaceae. RNAcentral describes it as "eukaryotic LSU rRNA". The stretch from base 1 to 105 matches the Rfam family "5.8S ribosomal RNA", at positions 50 to 154 of the family's 154-position model. Lineage: Eukaryota; Fungi; Basidiomycota; Agaricomycetes; Cantharellales; Ceratobasidiaceae. The record is from RNAcentral.
GAAAUGCGAUAAGUAAUGUGAAUUGCAGAAUUCAGUGAAUCAUCGAAUCUUUGAACGCACCUUGCGCUCCUUGGUAUUCCUUGGAGCAUGCCUGUUUGAGUAUCAUGAAAUUAUCAAAGCGAAUAGUUUGUUAAUUCGACUGCCUUUUGCUUUGGACUUGGGGGCCUGCAGAUUUCACAGUCUGCUCCUCUUAAACGCAUUAGCUGGAUUCUCGGUGAGCUCGGUUCCACUCGGCGUGAUAAGUAUCACUCGCCGAGGACACCCGUUAAAAAAGGUGGCCAGGCUCGCGGACGAACCGCUUCCAACGGUCUAUUGACUUAGACGAUGAAUUUAUGAUCUGAUCUCAAAUCAGGUAGGACUACCCGCUGAACUUAAGCAUAUCAAUAAGCGGAGGAAAAGAAACU